This 1369-nucleotide ribosomal RNA is filed under the name uncultured bacterium. RNAcentral's name for it is "bacterial SSU rRNA". It matches the Rfam family "Bacterial small subunit ribosomal RNA", at positions 28 to 1381 of the family's 1533-position model. The record is from RNAcentral.
GACGAACGCUGGCGGCGUGCCUAAUACAUGCAAGUAGAACGCUGAAGAGAGGAGCUUGCUCUUCUUGGAUGAGUUGCGAACGGGUGAGUAACGCGUAGGUAACCUGCCUGGUAGCGGGGGAUAACUAUUGGAAACGAUAGCUAAUACCGCAUAAAAUUGAUUAUUGCAUGAUAAUUAAUUGAAAGAUGCAAUUGCAUCACUACCAGAUGGACCUGCGUUGUAUUAGCUAGUUGGUGAGGUAACGGCUCACCAAGGCGACGAUACAUAGCCGACCUGAGAGGGUGAUCGGCCACACUGGGACUGAGACACGGCCCAGUCUCCUACGGGAGGCAGCAGUAGGGAAUCUUCGGCAAUGGGGGGAACCCUGACCGAGCAACGCCGCGUGAGUGAAGAAGGUUUUCGGAUCGUAAAGCUCUGUUGUAAGAGAAGAACGGGUGUGAGAGUGGAAAGUUCACACUGUGACGGUAUCUUACCAGAAAGGGACGGCUAACUACGUGCCAGCAGCCGCGGUAAUACGUAGGUCCCGAGCGUUGUCCGGAUUUAUUGGGCGUAAAGCGAGCGCAGGCGGUUAGAUAAGUCUGAAGUUAAAGGCUGUGGCUUAACCAUAGUAUGCUUUGGAAACUGUUUAACUUGAGUGCAGAAGGGGAGAGUGGAAUUCCAUGUGUAGCGGUGAAAUGCGUAGAUAUAUGGAGGAACACCGGUGGCGAAAGCGGCUCUCUGGUCUGUAACUGACGCUGAGGCUCGAAAGCGUGGGGAGCAAACAGGAUUAGAUACCCUGGUAGUCCACGCCGUAAACGAUGAGUGCUAGGUGUUAGGCCCUUUCCGGGGCUUAGUGCCGCAGCUAACGCAUUAAGCACUCCGCCUGGGGAGUACGACCGCAAGGUUGAAACUCAAAGGAAUUGACGGGGGCCCGCACAAGCGGUGGAGCAUGUGGUUUAAUUCGAAGCAACGCGAAGAACCUUACCAGGUCUUGACAUCCCUCUGAUCGCUCUAGAGAUAGAGUUUUCCUUCGGGACAGAGGUGACAGGUGGUGCAUGGUUGUCGUCAGCUCGUGUCGUGAGAUGUUGGGUUAAGUCCCGCAACGAGCGCAACCCCUAUUGUUAGUUGCCAUCAUUCAGUUGGGCACUCUAGCGAGACUGCCGGUAAUAAACCGGAGGAAGGUGGGGAUGACGUCAAAUCAUCAUGCCCCUUAUGACCUGGGCUACACACGUGCUACAAUGGCUGGUACAACGAGUCGCAAGCCGGUGACGGCAAGCUAAUCUCUGAAAGCCAGUCUCAGUUCGGAUUGUAGGCUGCAACUCGCCUACAUGAAGUCGGAAUCGCUAGUAAUCGCGGAUCAGCACGCCGCGGUGAAUACGUUCCCGGGCCU